UGGGGAAUAUUGCACAAUGGGGGAAACCCUGAUGCAGCCAUGCCGCGUGUGUGAAGAAGGCCUUCGGGUUGUAAAGCACUUUCAGCGAGGAGGAAAGGGGAAUAGCUAAUACCUAUUCUCUGUGACGUUACUCGCAGAAGAAGCACCGGCUAACUCCGUGCCAGCAGCCGCGGUAAUACGGAGGGUGCAAGCGUUAAUCGGAAUUACUGGGCGUAAAGCGCACGCAGGCGGUUAUAUAAGUCAGAUGUGAAAGCCCCGGGCUCAACCUGGGAACUGCAUUUGAAACUGUGUAACUAGAGUCUUGUAGAGGGGGGUAGAAUUCCAGGUGUAGCGGUGAAAUGCGUAGAGAUCUGGAGGAAUACCGGUGGCGAAGGCGGCCCCCUGGACAAAGACUGACGCUCAGGUGCGAAAGCGUGGGGAGCAAACA
This 427-nucleotide ribosomal RNA is filed under the name uncultured prokaryote. RNAcentral describes it as "bacterial SSU rRNA". It matches the Rfam family "Bacterial small subunit ribosomal RNA", at positions 355 to 774 of the family's 1533-position model. The record is from RNAcentral.